CUGCGCAUGGCCGGGCCCGGCUACGGCUGGACCCUUGGCGAGGCGCUGGUCAGCGAGGGGUUGGCGGGACGGUUCGUGAGCCAUCUGUUCGGC
Molecule: transfer RNA, 93 nt
Filed under: Methylobacterium thuringiense
Lineage: Bacteria; Pseudomonadati; Pseudomonadota; Alphaproteobacteria; Hyphomicrobiales; Methylobacteriaceae
Description: tRNA-Ala
Source: RNAcentral